CUGCCUUGGCCUCCCAAAGUGCUGGGAUUACAGGUGUGAGCCACUGCACUUGGCCCACCAUUAUGAUUUGAUGUAUUUCUUCAAGUUUAUUUAAACAUAGGUCUAAGUAUAUUUUCCUAUUUUUUUAAGUUACGAUACAUUUUUACAUGUAAUUAUAUAAUUUUCAGAACCACAAUUUGAUUCAUAACAACUACCUAGUAAAUGUACAUUAACAUUAAAUUUAAGUGUACUGUUUCCAAUGUUUCCACUAUUUUCUACCAACUAGUCAAUCAUUUAUUUCUUUAUUCAAUUUCACCAAUAUGUUUUAAGCACUCUGAACUAAUAUCAUAAAUGCUGGUCAAAAGGCAUAUAUCUUGCAUUUGUAUUAUUUGCUUAAGCCAAUUCCCAGACAUGAAAUUACUAGCAUAAAAGUAUAAACAUUUUUAAGACUCCUGAUACAUGUUAGAAGAUUAUUUUUUAAAAGGGUUAUAAUGAAAUCAUAAUGCUUCUAGGACAACAAUGUCACUCAAGUCAGAAAUCUAGGGUUCCUCUAAGACUGGCUGCUUUUCCUUGAAGAAGUUACCAAUCUUAUCAAUUCUGGCUGAUCAAUUUUUUUCUAUAGGUCAUCAGAACUAAAAUAAAAUCUAAUUAGGCUUCCUCUGAUUAAAAUUGUUGAAAGGCUUGCUACAUUAUUUUAGGAUAGAGUUCAAUUUUUUUUAACUCAUCCAUAACUUCUGCCUAACUAGUCUACUUCACUUUCCACAAAUCCCACACCCCAUCCUUCAGCCUGGUCCUAAACUGCUAAGUCUCAGGCCCCGCUUUCCCAUCUCUGUACUUUCCUCAAGCCAUUUCCUCUUUCCUAGACUCUCCCUCCUUCUCUUUGGCUGGUACAAUCCUACAUGUAACUCUGUAAAAACUUUCUGGUAACUUCAACUUGCCCCCAAGGAAAGAGAUUAGGUCUUUCCUUCCUUUUGAUUUUAUAAUACAUUAAUUUAUUACCACCUCUAGGCCAUCUAGUAUACUGGCUAAGAGUUCAAACUCUAACGUUGAAGUGCCUGUGUUCAAACUACCUUGUUACAGUCUGUGUACAAGUUAAAUAAUUUUGCAAAGCCUCAGUUUUUCCACUGACAAAAAAGAAUUGCUAAUUAUCUCUGUCACAGGGUUUUAUUGAGAUGGUCCUUAUUACACACUUGAAAUGUUGCUAGCAGGCUUGUCACAUUUGUUUCUUUCCUCAUAAACACAGUUUCUUUGAGAGCAGGGACCACAUCCUAACAAUUGUCCUUGCAUUCCCAGUGCCUACUUUGGUGCUUGGCACCCUGGAGGUACAGGAGCUACAUCUGCUGAAUGAACAGCACUGAGUAAGGACUGGUUUCUGCACUCCAGUUUGCAAUCUCACAAAGACGCCAGACAUACCAAAACAGCUUUCUACAUGGAGUGCUAUGGACACACUGGUGGUUGACAAUAAUAAGAACUUUUUGAAGGCAAUGUCAUUCCUGCCUCUCCAGACCUCAGACAGCUGUUACUCACUGUUUAUCCUUCAUCACGCCAUAGGCUACACUCCUAACACCAGCCAGCUGGCGAAUAUAUGACCUGUUUGUACAUGACAACCAUGACCAUCAUUACUCCAGAAAAGAAAACAAUUAAGCCACACAAUCAGCAAUACCUAAAGUGAGUCAACUGAAUUUCUGUGAGUCUGACUCUGACAACCUAUGGGACUUAUGCCAAAGAGGGGUUAUUCUCACUGGCUUUGGGCCAGUUUCUGCUGCUUUGAAUCCCUCCCUAUAACUUGGAUGAUUGACAAAUGUUGUGCCUCUUCCCAGAAUAUCAUUCUUCAGUCUUUUCAUAAGAAUGACUAGGACAAGAACCAUAGUGUCCUAUUUCUCAGAAGUUUCUGACCCUAUGCAUUGGGUGACAUCUCUACCACCAAAAAAUACCAACAGAGUACAUAGGAGCUAUGAACUAUCUAAGACAUACGGGCAAAGACAAGAAUACAUGCUAGUCAGCCUGAUGCUGCAAUUUAUACUCCUGAGCAUUUUGUUUCCUUAUCCCUGAAGUGUGGAUAUAAUACCUGUUCUCUGGGCAGCUGUGAGGAUAUGUGAGCUAAUUUAUGAAAAUGUAGAGUACAGUGCUUGGCACAUAGCUAAAACUCAGUAAGUGGCAGCUUAUAGAUAUCAUUAUUGGUGAAGAAACAAGAUGAAUUAUAUUGUACAUGUAUUUAUGUAAACCAAGGAAGGAUAAAAAAUAUUAAUGAUUUUAAAACAAUCUUUGGGGAAAUGACAGACUUCAAGGUAAUUUAAAACCCAUAGAGAUAACCUAACAUAUUCAAAUGCCACCAUUUGAUGGUAUACCUCCAAACUACA
Molecule: long non-coding RNA, 2339 nt
Filed under: Homo sapiens (human)
Lineage: Eukaryota; Metazoa; Chordata; Mammalia; Primates; Hominidae
Description: HSALNT0368745
Source: RNAcentral